RNAcentral lists this ribosomal RNA (400 nucleotides) under uncultured bacterium. RNAcentral describes it as "bacterial SSU rRNA". It matches the Rfam family "Bacterial small subunit ribosomal RNA", at positions 358 to 774 of the family's 1533-position model. The record is from RNAcentral.
GGAAUCUUCCACAAUGGACGAAAGUCUGAUGGAGCAACGCCGCGUGAGUGAAGAAGGUUUUCGGAUCGUAAACCUCUGUCCUUGGUGAAGAGGAAGAGACGGUAGCCAAGGAGGAAGCCCGGCUAACUACGUGCCAGCAGCCGCGGUAAUACGGAGGAUGCAAGCGUUAUCCGGAUUUAUUGGGCGUAAAGCGAGCGCAGGCGGUUUCUUAAGUCUGAUGUGAAAGCCUUCGGCUUAACCGAAGAAGUGCAUCGGAAACUGGGAAACUUGAGUGCAGAAGAGGACAGUGGAACUCCAUGUGUAGCGGUGAAAUGCGUAGAUAUAUGGAAGAACACCAGUGGCGAAGGCGGCUGUCUGGUCUGUAACUGACGCUGAGGCUCGAAAGCAUGGGUAGCGAACA